RNAcentral lists this ribosomal RNA (348 nucleotides) under uncultured bacterium. RNAcentral's name for it is "bacterial SSU rRNA". It matches the Rfam family "Bacterial small subunit ribosomal RNA", at positions 32 to 381 of the family's 1533-position model. The record is from RNAcentral.
AACGCUAGCGGGAGGCCUAACACAUGCAAGUCGAACGGGAUUGAGAGCUUGCUCUCAUGAGAGUGGCGCACGGGUGAGUAACGCGUAUGCAACCUACCUAUAACUGAGGGAUAGCCCAUAGAAAUGUGGAUUAAUACCUCAUAGUUCUUUUGUUCCGCAUGGGAUGAAAGAUAAAGCUCCGGCGGUUAUAGAUGGGCAUGCGUGACAUUAGCUAGUUGGUAAGGUAACGGCUUACCAAGGCUACGAUGUCUAGGGGUUCUGAGAGGAUGAUCCCCCACACUGGUACUGAGACACGGACCAGACUCCUACGGGAGGCAGCAGUGAGGAAUAUUGGUCAAUGGGCGCAAG